UCAGACCCUAGCAGUCGACGCCUGACUACCCGAGCGCCGAUCGCAUCGAGCCCUUCUUCCUCUCCCUUUUCUUGUCUCUUCCUUGUUUUUCCUUUCUGUCUCUCUUUCCUUUUUUUCCUUUGCUUACCCUCAGAUCAAGCGUCACCUCCCAGAAGCCUUCCUAGUUCCCGUCCCAUGGGAGUUCUCGCCCUUACCAUCUUGCCCCUCAGUGUGCACACUUCUUUAACAACAGUUAACACUUUGUAUCAUUUAACUACUUGUCAGAUUCCUUACCAGAGUGGGACUUCUUUGGGGAGCCUAGACUUAGUUUUGGAUCCUCAACUUCUGGAACAGCGCAGGGCACACAGUAGACGCUCAGCAGGCAUCUCCUUUCCCUUUAGAGAUGCCUUUCUCCUUUCCUUUCCCUUUCUCCUUUCCCCCUUUAGAACGCGCUUCUUUUCACUCUCUUGCCAUCUCCCUUAUGUCUCAUUUCAAUUCACCCAUUUCCCUAAAGAUGUUUUAAAAUCUAUUGCUUCUGGAAUUCUAGCUCCACACCGUACCAAAGACAUGAAGUUACAUCCAGACCUUAUAUUACCUUUCUUUUGCUAUAAAAGAUAAAGUGUUUUUUAAAAAUUUCGUGCUUGAAAAAUUUUAAUCCAAAAGUAACUAUUAUAAUUUACAAUUACCUAUGAUUUCUCAGCAUCUGUAAAUGAUCAGACAUUCUUGUGAAAUAAGAAACCUAAUCUCAAAUUGCUACAAAAUGUAAAAUGUGUAUAAAAUCCUAGUUUAACGUGUAAUGAAAUUGAUAUGUUAAUUUGAAGUUACUUAAACAUUUAUCAGUUUUGUAAUUUUUAUAUUUUGGGAUACAUACAUACACACACACACACACACACACACACACACAAUCUUUGAAAGCUUGUAGGCUUUAUACCUUCAGCACUGGGGCAAUAUGCCCCAUAUACAAAAUGGCCCUGUCUUUUCUUGCAGGUGGAAUAAAGAAGAGAGCUCACAGACUUGAACUGACAAGCCAUCAGGACAAACAUAUUGAGCAGGUGUGUGAAGCAGGCCUCACCAGUCAGAGGUGCACAUUUUCAGAAGCUGGCAAUGCCAUUGACGGUGUUGGAUGAGACAUGCAGCUCUCUGGGCAGUAAGUGGCAGGGGUUCUCACAGUGUGGCAGGGCUGCCCCACUGUACCCACCACUGUAUCAGGCGCAAGGCCGCUGUCAACAGCCCAGCUUCUAGGAGCACCCGAAUCUUAAAAGACUCCAUUCGUGUGUCCUUUACACUUGCAAUCCUGGCAUAAUUAGAAAUAACUCCACUUUCCCUCUCAAAUGAGGAGAUAAAAUAUGUAGCCAUCCCACCCCAUAUGUUUUAAUAAAUUCAUUUUCUAUUUAA
Long non-coding RNA from Homo sapiens (human), 1374 nucleotides. RefSeq lists it as uncharacterized. NCBI's taxonomy places the organism in Eukaryota, Metazoa, Chordata, Mammalia, Primates, Hominidae. The transcript has 2 exons. The record is from RefSeq and is a predicted model, not a curated record.